Molecule: non-coding RNA, 220 nt
Filed under: Kandleria vitulina
Lineage: Bacteria; Bacillati; Bacillota; Erysipelotrichia; Erysipelotrichales; Coprobacillaceae
Description: T-box sequence
Rfam family: T-box leader
About the family: Uncharged tRNA acts as the effector for transcription antitermination of genes in the T-box leader family.
Source: RNAcentral
UAAAAAACAUUGAAGUGACAUAGUAAAGAGCACUGUGGCAAAAGAGAUAUCACGGAUGGUGAAAGUGAUACGCAAAGGUUCUUGAAUUCACCACGGAGUUAUACAGCAGAAAAGCUGUUUCGGCAGUGCCCGUUAUCGCACAUGGUUCUUUGAACCUAGUAAGGCAGAACUUGUGAAAGUUAUGCAACUAGAGGUGGUAACGCGUGGAUUCGCCCUCUUG